This is an unclassified non-coding RNA of Dipodomys ordii (Ord's kangaroo rat), 66 nucleotides long. NCBI's taxonomy places the organism in Eukaryota, Metazoa, Chordata, Mammalia, Rodentia, Heteromyidae. The record is from Ensembl.
UUGACCUUUUCCAUUUUUAUUCACUCACAGAGGGUGGGCCAGGAGGAGAGUGAAGGAAAAGGUUAA